AGCAGCCGCGGUAAUUCCAGCUCCAAUAGCGUAUAUUAAAGUUGUUGCAGUUAAAAAGCUCGUAGUUGAAUUUCGGGAUCAAUACGCCUGUCGUGCCUUUGGUACGUACGGGUGUAAUUGGUUUCUACCUUCUGAGGAUCCUUGAUGUCAUUAAUUUGGUGUCUUGGGGAAUCAGGACUGUUACCUUGAAAAAAUUAGAGUGUUUAAAGCAGGCAUACGCUUGAAUACAUUAGCAUGGAAUAAUGAAAUAGGACGUUCGAUUCUAUUUUGUUGGUUUCUAGGAUCGACGUAAUGAUUAAUAGGGAUAGUUGGGGGCAUUAGUAUUCAAUUGUCAGAGGUGAAAUUCUUGGAUUUAUUGAAGACUAACUACUGCGAAAGCAUUUGCCAAGGAUGUUUUCAUUAAUCAAGAACGAAAGUUAGGGGAUCGAAGACGAUCAGAUACCGUCGUAGUCUUAACCAUAAACUAUGCCGACUAGGGAUCGGAUGAUGUUAAUUUUUAAUGACUCAUUCGGCGCCUUAC
RNAcentral lists this ribosomal RNA (520 nucleotides) under uncultured Glomus. RNAcentral's name for it is "SSU rRNA". It matches the Rfam family "Eukaryotic small subunit ribosomal RNA", at positions 569 to 1091 of the family's 1831-position model. The record is from RNAcentral. Lineage: Eukaryota; Fungi; Glomeromycota; Glomeromycetes; Glomerales; Glomeraceae.